GACGGAGGGUGCUAGCGUUGUUCGGAAUCACUGGGCGUAAAGGGCGCGUAGGCGGCCUCAGGUGUCGGAUGUGAAAGCCCGGGGCUCAACCCCGGAGGUGCAUCCGAAACUGCGAGGCUUGAGUAUGGAAGAGGGUCGCGGAAUUCCCGGUGUAGAGGUGAAAUUCGUAGAUAUCGGGAGGAACACCAGUGGCGAAGGCGGCGACCUGGGCCAAUACUGACGCUGAGGUGCGAAAGCGUGGGGAGCAAACAGG
RNAcentral lists this ribosomal RNA (253 nucleotides) under uncultured bacterium. Its description in RNAcentral is "partial 16S ribosomal RNA". It matches the Rfam family "Bacterial small subunit ribosomal RNA", at positions 524 to 776 of the family's 1533-position model. The record is from RNAcentral.